Molecule: ribosomal RNA, 235 nt
Filed under: Vanrija musci
Lineage: Eukaryota; Fungi; Basidiomycota; Tremellomycetes; Trichosporonales; Trichosporonaceae
Description: partial large subunit ribosomal RNA
Source: RNAcentral
AAACGAUUGAAGUCAGUCGUGUUCUUUGGACUCAGCCGGUUCUUCCGGUCUAUUUCCUUUGAACGGGUCAACAUCAGUUUUGUCCGGUGGAUAAAGGCAGGAAGAAAGUGGCUCCCUCGGGAGUGUUAUAGCUUUCUGUCACAUACACUGGAGGAGACUGAGGACUGCAGCUCGCCUUUUGGCCGGGGUUCGCCCACGUUCGAGCUUAGGAUGUUGACAUAAUGGCUUUAAACGA